RNAcentral lists this long non-coding RNA (1128 nucleotides) under Cyanistes caeruleus (blue tit). RNAcentral's name for it is "lncRNA (ENSCCEG00000014229.1)". Lineage: Eukaryota; Metazoa; Chordata; Aves; Passeriformes; Paridae. The record is from RNAcentral.
GGGGGACCUUAUUGCUUCCUACAGCUGCCUGAAAGGAGGGUGCAGCACCUGCGCAGCAGCCUCUUCUCCCGGGUAACAAACUCUCUUUCCUUUGGGGACCAGCAAAGAAAAACUGCUCCUAGUAGAUUACUAAAUAUUAGUUGUUGCAUUCCUCCAGAAUUUUUGCUAUCUUUAGACUAAGAGAUGUAAUGUCUUUUUUCUGUGUAAAAGGAUGAGCAGCCAAUGGGCUGGGAAAUAACAGGAGUAGGUAGCAGAGAGAGCAGAAUACCAGUAAUACAGAAUUACUUCAUGUGUCUUUACAGGUACUCUGUAAGCAUCAUCAGCUUGAUUUUAUAAUUAUUUUCUGAUGAAAUGUAAAGGCAAGAAGCCAGGCAUUGCCAUAACCAGAGCCCAAACUAUGAAUUCCCCUUGAUCCCAGGAAAAUCUCCUGUGAAUUUGGGUCAAGUCCUGUGAAGAGAUUUGUGCCUGAAGUUAAACUAGCCAUUUUCCAUUUUAAUCACAGGGCAUGGCAAGCUGUUUAUGGAUUCUGUCAUCCAACCAUGCUACUGUGGCUUAGGCCUUGAAGUGUUUUGCUGCUUGUGACUGCUGAUGAGAAAUGUACUGCAAAAUCCUCGGAUGAUCAGUUCGCAGGAGCAUUUCCUCAUCACACACACACUGCGCACUGAUCAGCUCCCAGGGAGAAAGGAGGAACACCUGAGGAGAGCUGGGGAACAGGGUGAGAUUGAGGGUACUCACGGGGCUAGAAUUGAAGCCUUUGAGGUUUCAAAGCCUUUAAGGCACUGCAGCACUGCAGGGACCUCCUGUGGUCAGUGGAAACAAGGCACUGCACCCAGCCCUGGGGAUGGGGCACGAUGGCCAGAGGGCUUCCUGCUGCACCUGGUCCUGUCCAGCUGCACAGCACAGGGGUGUCAGCCUUGGGAAAUUCUCACAGACACGAGGCUGAGAAAUUACUCUGGGACUGGGAGGUCCCCACUGAAAAGAAUGGAGAAGCUUGAUGCAAGCAAAACCCACUUCCUUGUCCCACCCUUCCUCAGAAAUGCCCCAAAUGCAAAGAUACAGCUCACAGCUCAUUGCACUAACAGAGAAGUGUUACUCCCACUGCUUUCAGCUUUGCUGCAUGUUACGUGA